Molecule: long non-coding RNA, 922 nt
Organism: Coregonus clupeaformis (lake whitefish)
Lineage: Eukaryota; Metazoa; Chordata; Actinopteri; Salmoniformes; Salmonidae
Exons: 2
Source: RefSeq, a predicted model, not a curated record
UUUUAAAGGGGCCGCCCUUGCCCAGAAAUGUGUCAAUCGUAGGUCCCACGGUUGUGCGUUCAGUCAUCAUGGAACCGCCGGUAACGGUUGUGUGUGCUUUAUAUGCGCUACAGUCAAGAAUGAUUGCAUUUCAUAUCUUGGCUAGAAGAGAACGCAUCCGCAGACAUCGAAUGCUAGCCAUCCGACGAUAUUAGCUAAAUUGAAAAUUACAAUGUAUAAGUGUGAUGUCAGGGAAAGUUGUAUGCGCUAGAUAACGUUUCCAAAAGCUAACCAAACAAAAACAUAAUUACUUUUACGAUACGUGCUUGUGCCAUCAUGUGCAUUAGUAGCACAAUUUCUAACUUAUUUACAUUCAUUUUUACUUACACUUUUAUGUUGACUUCUCCAUAUUGACGUUGGUUUUAUGUUUUGGCAGACUUUUCUUAGCGGAUGUACAAUCAUCGCAAAUUGAAUUAUGGGGCGUUUCAGGCCAUGGAGUGAACAGAUUUGUACACUCGCACACUCGAUCAAGAACGAGGGCUGAGCGGCUUAGGUUGCCAACUUCCCUUGCUUGGCUAAUCGUUUGGACCAAUGGCAAAAAUGGCCGCGGGGAUUCCCCCAAGGGCAUAUGGCGAGGGUGUGUCUUUGAUGUGUUUGAAACGCAGCCUUAGUGUUGCUGAGAAGACGCUGAUCAUGUGAUGAGUUCACAAAUCAAAUGCCCCACUUGUGCUGCAACUGGACAGCGAAAAACAAGUUGGAACCAACAUGCAGUACCUCCAGCAGCAAGAGUGGCAAUAACCAUUCGUUUGCCAGCUCAGGGACAAGCUACACUAUUCACAGCCCUGUGUAAUGUUCAAUGUAAUUUAAUUGCUGGAAUUGUAGAAACUUAAUGUACUUGUAUUGUUUGAAAAAUGUAAAAAUAAAAAGGAAAUGUACGGUUUAA